UACCAUAUUCAAACGAAACAAAAGGAUGAGGCUUACUAAACAAGCCGGAAACAAAUUCAUGACACAGAUUUAGCUCGAUAUUUUCAUAGUAAGGUUAGCACGGGCUCAAUCAUACAUUGGAUUGUUAUAUUGAAAUUAUGCUCGAAUAUGCUCCCUAGGCAUAGCGAACUACAAGGCAUGACGGAGCAUAUGUGAUGAAAUAUAUCGAGACUCUCCUUUGUAAGGAAGAUUGUGAACAAACGAAUCCAGUAGAUGUAGAACCCCAAUCUCAUAUCAUGCACCUGUUGGACGAUAAUCCUAGGUAACUACAUGAAUUCCCACCUAAGAACUCCUAAAAUUUUCUGGUUAUGCAAUCAGGUCCAUGGAUACAAGGAGUAAAAUCCAUCAAUCAACUCCUAGCAAUAACACUACCCGUCUAGUGUAUCACAUCCAUCAACACAUAACCAGAGAUCUCGGAAACUCAUCUACCUCAGACCCUCAUAAUCAGAACAAUACCAAGUAUGGCAGUACAUCCGGACGCUCUCCACCAGUACCGGGGAUGCCAGAGUCCUCUCACACUACUAGUAUUAAAGCAAUUUCGAACAUCAUCUGUCAUGAGAUAGUAAGGAAACUGAACAAUAGUGAGUGUGACAGGAAUCCCUUAGAGCACAACUAUUCGAUAACAGGAGGCAACAAGAACAAAAUCCCGGUCACAACGACAUCGUAGAGGUUCCAAAAUACCCAUGAUCCUAUUUUUUUAUUGAGUGAGAAUAGGAGUAGAAUUAAAAUUCCUAGGUCGUAAACCUCAUGAGAUCAGGGAAGAGGAGUGAAAAGAAUCCUACUCUCCGAUAUAUAACUAAACUCAAAGUAGUUUUUCACUAGACUCGACUCGACCAAGUUUGAUCAAUCAAGGGAGCUCCCAGGUCGGUACAACUAUGAUGCCAAUUUGUAACGCCCAAGAUGCCAUCAUAUCCUUAUUUUGGCAUGAGGGCCUCGACAGGUAUAGAACCGCAUCUCGUCAUUUUGCAAGAAUGGAUAUUAUUACAUGUACAUGUAUAGCAGAUAUAAGUAUAUGGAAUUGGCUUACACUCACCAUAAGGUAUAUCAUGAACAACACAAUACAACAAUAUAUUCAAUGACCAUGUAGAAGGGUAGGGUCCGACUAUGGACGAAAACAAACAAUAAAAGAACAACGUCCAUCCUUGCUAUCCGAGGCUGUCAGCCUAGAACCCAUCCUAAAUCGAUGAAGAAGAAGAAGAGGAAACUCCAAAUAACACAAUCAUCGCGCUCACGUCAAAUUAUUGCUUUACCUGUACCUGCCAGAGGGACUCGGCAAUCUCAUUUUCAAAGUAUCAAGACUAGCAAAGAUUAAUGGGUGAGAUAUGGUUAAGUGGUCUGCAACAAGCAACUAAGCUUUUUUGGGUGGCUAACUUAGAAGUACAAGAAUAAAAGGGGGAUAAUCUACGUGUAUCAGAGGGGAACUAAUAAUGAUCACGAAGUGAUCCAGAACACCUACUUACGUCAAACAUAACCCCACUGUGUCCUCUUCCAGAUGCAGAACUCUGAGAAGAGACAGUCACAGUUACACACACAGUUGGCAUAUUUUAAGUAAAUUUACUUCAAGUUAUCUAGAACCGGAUGUUAAACAAAGUUUCCAAGUUGCCACAUAACCGUGGGCACGGAUUUCCGAAAGAUUUAAUCCUGUCGGGGUGCUCCAACUAGUCCAUCAUAAACUACCACACGCUGCAUCGGAAAACCCGUGAUCUCCUCGGAUUCUUGGUGGAAAACCUCAACCUCAAGAUAGCCCAAAGUAUCCUCAAAAUACCUUGCACAAGAUGUUCGAGAAAGUUAAAACAAAUCCAGCAAGGUCGCCCGACGUGUCGACGAUCCCGAUAGGAGCCACGUAUCUCGUUCUCAGGACACGACAGAUAAGCGACGCGUACGUGUGCCUAAUACGAAUCACCCAAGUUGCCUUGGGUUGGACCCGCACAAUGCUCUAGUUUGGACCAACACUCAUUAGGAACACUUGCCCGAGGGUUGUUUAAUUAUCCACGGGUUAACUACUCCCUAGGCGGUUCAUUAGUUAUUAAGCAAAUGUAGUACAAAUGUUGGGGCUUGCCAGAAGAGUUUUAUCUCAAAAAUAAAAUCAAGGGGGUCCCCAUAACAACCCCAAGCAUGUUAGAAGCACUCAAUUAUGGAACAAAACACUCAUAGCCAAAACUAAGGCGGUAAAGAUGGAACAAAACACCAGGCUAGAAGGCCAAGCCUUGCACCUUCUAUCCAAUAUAUAGGUGCACUAAAUUAAUUAGCAACAAUGUGAUGAUAUAAUAAGGAACCCAUGUUUUCACAUGGAAUAAACUGCACUUACAACUAGCAACGACGUAAGAAGGCUGAGCAAGCGGUAACAUAGCUAAACUAGGGACUGCUAGGUUUUGCAGGGUUAGAGGCUUUUCAUAACAAUGUUGGCAGGCUGACAUUUAAGUGAUAGACAGCAAGACAUAGUAAAAGAAACGAGAUAACUAGCAUGACAAUGGUAGUAAUGGUAUCUAGGGAAAUGACCAUCUUGCGUGUGAUCCUGCUUGGAAGAAGAACGAAUCUAUGAAGCAGAUGAACCAAUAUAGUCGAACGAAUCCUCACAUUCCAACACACACGAUAUUCACCACAACAUAUGUAUGACAUGAUGCACAAAUACUUAUGAUGCAUGUCCAGUUUAAUUAUGCAAGGCAUUGCACCUCACAACAAUCGAAUACUACACAUUAAGUGAAGCUUAAUAUGCAACAAGUUGCAUAUUGUCGAAACUCCACGUUCAUAUAUUUAGUUCACUCCCGUUUAGAUACUCAUCAAUAUUAAAUGUUGUUUAAACAUGACAAGAGGUGAAGUAUAAAUAAUCUACACUAUCUAGGCAUUUCAAGUGAGGUCGGAAACAACAUAUAGCAUCUCCGAAAUGACCCCAUGUGUCAAUUUCAAACUCUGUCUAGAUUUGUACUAAUCACAUUUUAUAUUUAUUAAACAACAAAAUAAAGUGAGUCAUGUGAUUCUACAUGUUAUUCUUGUCGAUUUACAUAUAUGAAUCAUCUAAAACGAAGUUACGGUUUAAAGGAUAUGUGCAAGAACAAGAUGAUAUAGCAUGAACGCAUAAUGUAUGCAAAUGACAGUCACAAUAUGUUAAAACAUGGAUGCACAAGAUAUUAUGAAAGUACUUAAAAUUCUAAGCAAGUUUAAAUGAGGCCGGAACAACAAAUAUCAAUUCUAGAAAGUCCCCAUAUGUGAUUUCGAAUUUUCUACAUAUCUUCCUAAACAAAAUUUUAGAGUUGUUAAAUAGGAAAAAUAAAUGCUACCAUGUUAAUCUUCACAUUUUUCUAGCCAAGUUUCAUAUGUGGAUCAUUUUAAUCAGAGCUACGAUUGAUUAAUUAUGAGAUAAACCACUCUAACAUGGCAUUGGUGCAAAUUAAAUUAAAACAAGUUAAACAUUUUAAACACAUGUGAGAGUCGGAUAUUGUGCAACUACACAAAAUUUUAAGCAUUUUUCAUGUAUGAAGUUUUUUAAUCCGAUGCAUGGUUAAUUUUCUACGAAUUAAAUCAUUUUAAUAUGGCAUCACACAAAACAAUGCAAAAUAUUUUUAACAUGCGUGAAGGCGGAAUAUUAUCAAUCUACACAAAAUUCUGGAAAUUUCACAUAUAUAACUUAUUUUCAUCCAAUGCACGGUUAAAUAGUCAUUAACAAUUUAGAAAUAUGCACUUUUCUGAAAAUACAAAAUGUCGUGACAAAUAGCUAAAUUCGUCUGAGCAGAAAAAAAGUAUACAUGGCCAAAUUUUACUGAACUAGGCCAACACAGAACUAGGCGCAAUAUAAAAAAUGUCGCCUUCGGCGACAUAUAGGCAACGGGGAGGGGGCAGCUCACCAAGUGGGCUUGGCCAAGGUCGAGGCACAGGACCGGCUGGGCCGGCUGGGGCGGCUGCUCGGUGUGGCGCUUCGAGAGGCGACCGAGCCGAUCCGGAGCAGCCCACACACGCAUGUCGGGGUUGUGGACGUUGACCUCGCCUGCUCGAUCCCGAGCAGGCCAUACACAGCGGCCGCGGGACUCGGUGAGUUCUCGGGCGGGGCUCUAACGAGUGGAGGUGGCCGGAGGAGGCCGAUCCGGGGGUGUCGGCCUCGGAUCUCGCCGGAUCCGGGCGGCAGAGGCGAGGGAAGGCGAGGCUGGCGGUCUGUGACAGCAUGAGUAGCCGGCGGGGGGAUUAGGUCGCGGCUAAGCUACGUGUGAGGUGCGGCGAGCAGUGGUGGAGCGCAGGGCUCGACCCGACAGAGUUAUGCCGGCGGGUUGCCUCUGCAUAACGUGCAGGGGAGCGUGAGGGGAGGCUGCUUGCCGAGAUCGCGACACGGCGACGAUGAGCCUGGUGGCGGGGAGGCAGGGCACGCAGGCGCAACGUGCUGCAGCGGCUGAACCAUGCCUGGGUGGGCUACGCCUGGGCCUCGGCAGGCCGCGGUUGGGAGUAGCUGGUCGGCUGGUUCAGAGUGCCCUGUUCGUCGAUCUGGCCACGGGCGGUGCAGAUCAUGGCUCGGUGGAGCUGGUGGUUGUGGUUGGUUCAGGUGGCGGCUGCGUGGUGGAAGGGUGACAUGAUGCGGCGGGGCAGAGGUAGGGGAAGGGCUAGGACUAGGGUUUGGUCCAAAAAUGAUUGGGUUGGCUGUCUAUUUAUAGAUAGGGCUAGGAGAGGGGACUUUUGGGGCAUUUCGAGGCCUGCGAUCGCGAUUGGACGGCUCCGAUUGCGACCCAGGGCUAGUAGGAUUAGGUGGGCUGGUUGGAUAGUGUGGGGAAGAUUGUGGACUGAGAUGAGAUGGAGUUAGUGCGGCCCGUGAUAAGAUUUUUCAACACCGAAACGUCCG
This 4861-nucleotide long non-coding RNA is filed under the name Hordeum vulgare. RNAcentral's name for it is "long non-coding RNA (HVUL_LNC015613)". The record is from RNAcentral. Lineage: Eukaryota; Viridiplantae; Streptophyta; Magnoliopsida; Poales; Poaceae.